This 403-nucleotide ribosomal RNA is filed under the name uncultured bacterium. Its description in RNAcentral is "partial 16S ribosomal RNA". It matches the Rfam family "Bacterial small subunit ribosomal RNA", at positions 30 to 526 of the family's 1533-position model. The record is from RNAcentral.
AUUGAACGCUGGCGGCAGGCCUAACCCAUGCAAGUCGAGCGAGCGGCGGACGGGUGAGUAAUGUAUGGGGCCUGCCCGAUAGAUGGGGAUAACUACUGGAAACGGUAGCUAAUAACGCAUACUAUCGGAUAACCCAUAUGGGAUUAGCUAGUAGGUGAGGUAAUUCCUCACCUCGGCGACGCUCCCUAGCUGGUCUGAGAGGUUGCUCAGACGAACUGGGACUGAGACACGGCCCAGACUCCUGCGGAGGCAGCAGUGGGGAAUAUUGAACAAUGGGCGCAAGCCUGAUGCAGCCAUGCCGCGUGUAUGAAGAAGGCCCUAGGGUUGUAAAGUACUUUCAGUCGGGAGGCGUUACCGACAGAAGAAGCACCGGCUAACUCCGUGCCAGCCGCCGCGGUAAUAC